AACUCAAGACCAAAGCGCGUACGCUGGAGAAGAACCUCAAGCAAAGACCUUGCUGACAACAUUGCCCUCCAGGUGGCUUUUAAAGCAUAUAAAAAAGUACUUGCAGAAGAAUGUGAAGGGAUAGACACUCGUCUAAAAGGUCUAGAGAACGUUACCGGAUUGAAGCUGUUCUUUAUUUCGGAAGCUAGGACUCAGUGCAGAAUAGCAGAUAACGCUACGCUCAUCCAAGAGAUUUGGUGGGAAAACUUUAGCCCUGCUCCAAACAGG
RNAcentral lists this long non-coding RNA (267 nucleotides) under Dermacentor andersoni. RNAcentral describes it as "uncharacterized LOC126529482". Lineage: Eukaryota; Metazoa; Arthropoda; Arachnida; Ixodida; Ixodidae. The record is from RNAcentral.